RNAcentral lists this ribosomal RNA (720 nucleotides) under Triticum aestivum (bread wheat). RNAcentral's name for it is "partial small subunit ribosomal RNA". Lineage: Eukaryota; Viridiplantae; Streptophyta; Magnoliopsida; Poales; Poaceae. The record is from RNAcentral.
AUGAGUGGGGACCGGAUUAUCCUGGUCAAGCUGGUAGUUGGGGACUUAAUUCUCAAUGUUAUCGGCGCAUAUACCUCGCAAGUAGGCCACAACGAGAACACCAAGAUGGAGUUCUGGGAAGGUCUGGAGGACAUGGUUAGGAGUGUACUUAUCGGCGACAAGCUCUUCAUAGGAGAUCUCAAUGGCCACGUGGGUACAUCUAACACGGGUUUUGAAGGGGUGCAUGUGGGCUUUGGCUAUCGCGGCAGGAAUCAAGAAGGACAAGAUGUCCUAAGCUUUGCUCUAGCCUACGAUAUGAUCGAAACUAACACCCUCUUUAGAAAGAAAGAAUCACGUCUACUGACUUUUAGUAGUUGUCGACACUCUAGCCAGAUUGAUUUCGUCCUGUCGAGAAGAGAAGACAGACAUGCUUGCCUAGAUUGUAAGGUGAUACCUGGAGAAAGUUUUGUCCCUCGGCAUAAGCUUGUGGUGGCUAACUUCCGCUUUCGGAUUCGUGGCCAGCAGGAUAAGCAUGCCAAAGUCGCUAGAACAAAGUGGUGGAAGCUCAAGGAGGAGGCAGCUCAGGCUUUAAAGGAGAGGGUCAUUAAGGAGGGCCCUUGGGAGGAAGGAGGUGAUGCAGGCAAUAUGUGGAUGAAGAUGACGAUUUGCAUUUGUAAGGUGGCUUCAAAGGAGUUUGGAGUGUCCAGGGAAAGUAGAAGCGAAGCUAAAGAUACCUAUUAA